CUGCUGCCUCCCGUAGGAGUCUGGUCCGUGUCUCAGUACCAGUGUGGGGGACCUUCCUCUCAGAACCCCUACGCAUCGUCGCCUCGGUGGGCCGUUACCCCGCCGACUAGCUAAUGCGCCGCAUGCCCAUCCCCCGCCGGAAUCGCUUCCUUUGGCCGCAGACCCAUGCAGGUCCGCGGCGUUACGCGGUAUUAGUCGGGAUUUCUCCCGGUUAUCCCCCUGCGGGGGCAGGUCGCAUACGUGUUACUCACCCGUGCGCCGGUCGG
This 266-nucleotide ribosomal RNA is filed under the name uncultured bacterium. Its description in RNAcentral is "partial 16S ribosomal RNA". The record is from RNAcentral.